CUAUGCAGGAAGAUGUUCUUUGUUACAAAGAAUUAAAAGACAAUGAAAGAAGGAGAGGGGAAAAAAUAAAAGGAAAAGGGCUAGAUGUUUGUUUCUUAGACUCCAUGAUUAGAACAUAGAAAGAGGGUGGCAACUCCCACCACAGUUUUAUCCCCUUUCUCUGUCCAGCUUCUGAAAGUUCUUUGUUUCACCAUGGCGACAAGAGUAUACAAAACAUGUGGGUCUGGGUAUCUCAGAGCCAGGAGUAAAUUCUGAACUGGACAGAAGAAGGAAGACAAAGGAGUCUUUUCAACUUUUUGUUAACUAGUGGGAAAAUGAUAGUUGAUUUGCUGUGAACAUUUAAAUGAACAGAACACCUCUAACAGUUCCCGUGGUUUGUUAAACUCAUUCACCCUGCCCCAUACCAAAUGGCCAACUCUGGACCCAUCGACAAGUGACUCUUGGAGCUAAUUCCAACUGCAUUUUGCUCUCUGUUGUACAGUAUUUCAGUGACAGAACCCAACACGUGUGUGUUUGGCGAGGCUGGCGGAGGUUAAGAAGGAGCUGAGUAUUAAGUUAAGGUGGCUGAACAACAAUGGAAAGAUGAUCCUUGGCCUUUUCUGAUCCCGGGAGGAGCUGGGAAUUGAGAACUCUGUGUGGUCUUAGAAAUCAUCUCCAGCUUCCCUCACAGGCUGCUGCUUCUUAGGAGAAUCCCAGGGAAAGGCAGCAGUGAAAUAGUGGGACCUCAAUCCACAGAAGCUGACGUCAGACCCAGGUCAAGAUACAAGAGAAACCCACUGAAAGCCAGUCCCCCAAAUUUUCCAGAGAAGCGGAUAGUUCACAGCUGAUCCAAGACCCCACCAAACGGCCAACUUUGAGGAAGACCAAGUGCUUUUGAAGAUUUCAUCUUGGUUCUGAUUUGGAGAAACACUGGAGGAUGGAGUCUCCACUGAAAAAGCAACAGCGGGUCUCAGUUCCAGCAGCACUGAGAUCCAGUCAAGAGGACGGGGGCCUGAGACUCAAACCAAUACACUUUUGAACUGGGACAAGUUAGAGAGCACCCGCCAAACCCUCCUCUUGACAUUUAAAAUCCUGUAUCAUUGUAUAUAAUUUUAAAAACCAAACAAACACCCGAGCAUUACCUGUGUUUAUUUACAAAGGAACAACUCCCAGUUCUGAACUGUUUGCUUAUUUUGCCUUUUUUAUGUCCCCUGUUUUUUCACCCAAGAAAUAUCAAAUAGGAAACCACAAUAACUAUGUGAUUUUAUCUUGAAAACAGCUUUACAAAGGCCCUAACUUGGAAAAUUAGGGUCCUCGAAUGUCUUUUUUUCAGGAUCCCAUGACUGACCUCUGACUGCAAAGAUCUUAUUGUCUGACAUAGGGAUACCUGAAUGAAUUAAAGAAAGUCUCAGGAAACUUUUGUCAGGGAUGUAGUUGUAACCAAGCUCAUGGAAUAAAGUCACUCUUGCCUAGUCCCUGGUCUACAAUUUUCCCUUAUCACCACUAGCAGCUUACAGCACAGCUACAGGGGCACAAAUUAUACAAGCAAACACAAAAACAGACAUACAGUGAAAGAUCUCUUGGUAACUUAAUUUCCUGGCUUUGUACUGGUCUGACACAGUUUCUCCUGGCUCUUGAUCUCCAUCCCAUCAAUAUUUUCAGUUCUGCUGUCACAUUAUGAGAUGGCUUAGAACCAUAGAGUUCUGACUCCACUUCUAGAAGGCAGCUCUUCACAAUCUCAGCAUGGCAGAGAAGCUGGUCCCUUGUCCAUAUACUUGGCUGCAGCUCUUGCUUCUUGUUCCAUGGAGAAUCGCUUUACCUAUCUCAGUGUGGCAACCCCUAGUCAUUGAUAUAAUCCUGUAUGAUCAGUCCUGUAAAUGAUCUGAGUAAUGCUGUUCCUAGGGAUGUUUAGCUGAAAACACAUACAUUUUCAGGCAUUAGCUUAUUUCCGGGAAAUGCCCGAGUCAUAUUUGGUCUGAACGUUCAGACUGAGCUGGGUUAUCAGCUGGAGUUUGAAAUCUGCUCAAGCAUGCAUGGUAUUUCAGGUUUUUGUACAAUACGUGAAAUGUUCUGCAUGCUGUAUUAUAACGGGGCCCAAAUUGCUGUCUGUGAAAUGUGAUUUCUGUCCAGUCUUGAAGUUGGGGUGGGUGGUGAUAAUUAUACAUAGAAAAAUUGACUGCCGGUCUACAGAACAUAAAGCACCGAGUCAGUAUGGUGAUGUUUGAAAUGUCGAUUCCUAAGACAAAGCUGAAAGGCGAUAUCUGUAAGCAAUAAUGGCUGCUCAGGACUUCGCCAAGAUCCGGGCUCAUUUAAAAGGGUCCUUUCAGAAAGAGUCAAGAAUAAGGAGUGAUAGGAUUUAUGGAAAUUGUGGUUGUGCUGACUUGCAUUAUGUAAAUGUGCCUGCUUUACAAUAAAACACAUUUGUUUUCUUUGGCAAUGAGAUUUCUGUCACCUUCCUGCAAACUGUGUUCUCAGUUGCUUUGUGGGGUAGCUGCCGGUGAGCUCAGCAGUGGCUGACCUGCCAAGGGCAUGGCUAAGGGAUGUGGGCCUGCUCCUUCUGAAAACUCUGGGGCACUGGGUUGUCCAAUUAAGAACCAUGCCAUCGGCUUGAAUCAUAGAUUAUUCGAGCUGAGAGGAAUUGUUGAUAACAUUUAGUCCAACCCACUCAUUUUAAAGCAGAAGAAGCCAGAGACUGCAUAAAUGAAAUAGAUCGCAAUUGUCUAGCCACUAGUUCAAUCAUGGCACUGGGCAGUAGAAUUUUCAGUCCGGUACCUUUCCUGAUUCAACUUAAAGAGUUAUCUGCAUUUUUUCAUUAUCUACUUCUAUUUUUCCUUCUACUGCUGUGGGUAAUUGUGAGUUGACCCAUGUGAGUCACAGAAAAUCAAUAAUCCUUUGGCUCUCUAUAUGAAAGUCUACUGAAAAGGGUGUAUGACCGUGGGUUAGUCAUUAAUCCCUUCUGUCUGUUAAUUUUUGUGUUCCGUAAACCUAAUACUUGUUAGGUUGGUGUAAUCUUUUGUAAUUGUCAAAAUGAGAUGACACACAUAUGAAACACACUGCCAUUGGAGCUAAUCAUGUACGCAAAGUUAGGUCUGUUUUGGUCCAUGCAAGAGUUACUAACUUUGAGUCCAUAAGGUUGUUUUCCA
This is a long non-coding RNA of Sarcophilus harrisii (Tasmanian devil), 3122 nucleotides long. RefSeq lists it as uncharacterized. Lineage: Eukaryota; Metazoa; Chordata; Mammalia; Dasyuromorphia; Dasyuridae. The record is from RefSeq and is a predicted model, not a curated record. The transcript has 3 exons.